GCCAGAGUGGUGCAGUGGUCUGAGUGUUGGACUAUGACUUUGGAAACCUGGGUUUGAUUCCCAGCUCUGCCA
RNAcentral lists this transfer RNA (72 nucleotides) under Phrynosoma platyrhinos (Desert horned lizard). RNAcentral's name for it is "tRNA-OTHER". It matches the Rfam family "tRNA". Rfam says of the family: Transfer RNA (tRNA) molecules are approximately 80 nucleotides in length. Their secondary structure includes four short double-helical elements and three loops (D, anti-codon, and T loops). Lineage: Eukaryota; Metazoa; Chordata; Lepidosauria; Squamata; Phrynosomatidae. The record is from RNAcentral.